This 1410-nucleotide ribosomal RNA is filed under the name bacterium NLAE-zl-G105. RNAcentral describes it as "16S ribosomal RNA". It matches the Rfam family "Bacterial small subunit ribosomal RNA". The record is from RNAcentral.
CAUGCAGGUCGAGGGGCAGCAUUUUAGUUUGCUUGCAAACUAAAGAUGGCGACCGGCGCACGGGCUGAGCUAACACGCUAUCCNACCUGCCGAUAACUCGGGGAUAGCCUUUCGAAAGAAAGAUUAAUAUCCGAUAGUAUAUUAAAACCGCNUGGUUUUACUAUUAAAGAAUUUCGGUUAUCGAUGGGGAUGCGUUCCAUUAGUUUGUUGGCGGGGUAACGGCCCACCAAGACUACGAUGGAUAGGGGUUCUGAGAGGAAGGUCCCCCACAUUGGAACUGAGNCACGNUCCAANCNNAUACGGGAGGCAGCAGUGAGGAAAUAUUGGUCAAUGGACGAGAGUCUGAACCAGCCAAGUAGCGUGAAGGAUGACUGCCCUAUGGGUUGUAAACUUCUUUAAUAUGGAAAUAAAGUAUUCCACGUGUGGGAAUUUGUAUGUACCAUAUGAAUAAGGAUCGGCUAACUCCGUGCCAGCAGCCGCGGUAAUACGGAGGAUCCGAGCGUUAUCCGGAUUUAUUGGGUUUAAAAGGGAGCGUAGGUGGAUUGUUAAGUCAGUUGUGAAAGUUUGCGGCUCAACCGUAAAAUUGCAGUUGAAACUGGCAGUCUUGAGUACAGUAGAGGUGGGCGGAAUUCGUGGUGUAGCGGUGAAAUGCUUAGAUAUCACGAAGAACUCCGAUUGCGAAGGCAGCUCACUAGACUGCAACUGACACUGAUGCUCGAAAGUGUGGGUAUCAAACAGGAUUAGAUACCCUGGUAGUCCACACAGUAAACGAUGAAUACUCGCUGUUUGCGAUAUACAGUAAGCGGCCAAGCGAAAGCAUUAAGUAUUCCACCUGGGGAGUACGCCGGCAACGGUGAAACUCAAAGGAAUUGACGGGGGCCCCGCACAAGCGGAGGAACAUGUGGUUUAAUUCGAUGAUACGCGAGGAACCUUACCCGGGCUUAAAUUGCAUUUGAAUAAUCUGGAAACAGGUUAACCGCAAAGGCAAAUGUGAAGGUGCUGCAUGGUUGUCGUCAGCUCGUGCCGUGAGGUGUCGGCUUAAGUGCCAUAACGAGCGCAACCCUUAUCUUUAGUUACUAACAGGUCAUGCUGAGGACUCUAGAGAGACUGCCGUCGUAAGAUGUGAGGAAGGUGGGGAUGACGUCAAAUCAGCACGGCCCUUACGUCCGGGGCUACACACGUGUUACAAUGGGGGGUACAGAAGGCAGCUACCUGGCGACAGGAUGCUAAUCCCAAAAACCUCUCUCAGUUCGGAUCGAAGUCUGCAACCCGACUUCGUGAAGCUGGAUUCGCUAGUAAUCGCGCAUCAGCCAUGGCGCGGUGAAUACGUUCCCGGGCCUUGUACACACCGCCCGUCAAGCCAUGAAAGCCGGGGGUACCUGAAGUACGUAACCGCAAGGAGCUCCUAGG